This is a long non-coding RNA of Vespa mandarinia (Asian giant hornet), 3951 nucleotides long. The record is from RefSeq and is a predicted model, not a curated record. NCBI's taxonomy places the organism in Eukaryota, Metazoa, Arthropoda, Insecta, Hymenoptera, Vespidae.
AAGAAAGAAAGAAAGAAAGAAAGAAAGAAACAGUAUGGCGGAGAAAGCUGACAAUAAACACACAGAAUUGUAUGAUUUAUUCUUUUUGUCCAGCGCCAUGCAUCGUGAAAGUAUUCUUCUUCUCUUUUGAACAAUUUUUAAUCGUCGUUAUCUCUUUGUAAAUCGUUAUCUCAUUUUGUAAGUUAGGCGUAAGGAAAGGUUUAUCGAAUAGAUGAGAAAAGAAGAAUUUUGUGAUAAAUCGAAGAGGUACAGUCAAGUGGAAGAUAAAAUGAAAUUACGUCGUGGUUUUGCCGUGGUUCUUUCAUUUUUAGGUCGCAUGUGUUAUCGAGCGAUUUAUAAUUUCCAUUUCUGUAGACAUUCGUUAUUUCUCUCUCUCUUUCUCUCUCCCUCUCCCCCUCCCCACGCCCAUCCCUCCCCCACCCCUCCUCAUCCCCUCUCUCUUCCGUUGAAGCCUUGAGUCGAGUUAGAAAAUCGAACUCAUCAAUACACGUAGUUACAUCCUCCGAUCAUUGAACGAGUUCGUCGCAUCGUUUAUUCAAAAAUUCCUGUUUUCGUAAUCAGACAGGCGUCAGGAAGACAUGGAGUGGCGAAGUGUGUCUUCUUUCUUUCUUUUUCUCUUGUUCUUUCUCUUUCUUCUUCUAUUUCUAUUUCUUUCUUUCACUUGGCUGUGAAGAAUGAAACUCGUGUUGAGCUAUAUCUGGAUGUGUUUACAGGAUUCGUAUCUAUCCGAUGCUUGAGAUUCUCGUCUCUUUUCUUCCAUUUUCUCAUCCCUAAGAGACGAGCGCGAAUGUACUCGAUUGUUUCAUUUGAGAUUGUGAAACACGAGAAACUGGCUUAGGGGAAGCUUUACACUGUUAGAGGAUAGGAUGCUAUAAGGGGGCGGCUACUAUACGACGUUUGGACACGAGAACGAUUCUUACAAGGACUGUUUCUCUUUUCCUUUUUUCUCUUUCUCGUUUUGGUCCAUUCGUUUUCUCGCUGUCCCAUCUUCCAUUUCUUUUUCUGCCUUUUUCUCAUUGCUAUAGGUACAGUACGAAGGAGUGGCAUCCAAGUUUCCGCGUUUCUGCGUUUUUACGUCCUUCAAUGGAAUUGAUUCUUUCAAGACGGGAAGAGCAAUUUUUCUUUAAUUCCGCCACGCGGAAAAUCGUACCCUCUCGGACGUUAUUCUGACUCGUUCACAAUCGUAUUUCCAUUGAGAAAAAAAAAGGUAUUCGUUAAAAUCCUACGAAUAACUCUUAUUGAUUUUACUCUUUGUAACGUGCAAAAGAAUUAUGAUUGGUUGAGGUAGAGAGAGAGAGGGGGAGGGGGAGAGAAAUGUUUAAAGAUAAUUAGUUUGAAUUAUAGUGAAUGAAGCGAGUAUAGGAAGUGUAUAUGUGUGUAUAUUUUAUGUGUUUAUGUGUGUAUAUAUUAUAUUAUAUAAUAUAUUAUAUUUAGAUUAAAAUUUGAUUUAAGACUAAAACAGUCUGGGUCAAUGGCAGCCUAGAUUUUUCAGAAUAAGAAAUUAUUCCUAUCCUAUUGAAGCCAAUUAAAGAUUCCUCUUUCCUUCGGGAUUAUAUAUCAAUACUAUCACAGACUACUAUUCGACCUGUAUCGCUACUGCGAAUCAUCGCCAUCGAUCGUGGACCUUUUCCAAUUAACGUCACGUCUUGGACCCCGGAUCGUUAUCCUUAUCGUUGGCUAUUUCUUGAAUCCGGUGGGCUGAUAAAGAAAGUCUCACGAAAGAUAUCUUUCUUUCUAACUUUCAUUCUUUUUUCUUCUCAAAACUCGGUCGAUUCUUUCUCUCUUUCACUCUCUCUCUCUCUCUCUGUCUGUCUCUCUCUUUCUCUUUCUCUUUCUUUCUUUCUUUCUUUCUUUCUCUUUCAGUUGAAUCCCUUUGGCAAAUCCACCGUCGGCCGUUUUCCAGGCGAAGGAAAAUACACUGGCUUGCACUGACACAUCGAGAACGUAUAUAUACAAAGCUUCUUUCGCUUUGUUUUAAGAUUGUUCAGGGAAUCGUAAAUGGUGAAACUCGACGUUACUUCAGAAUGCGUCCUGUUCGUUCGUGUUCGAUACUCUUUCGGCAAAUCUACCGUUGAAUACUUUGAAGCAGGAGUAAAGGAAGAAAGUUCAUGCGCGCAUUACUAUAUAGAGAGAAAGUUCUACGAACGUGCUUUAGGGUACGAACAAUUACUUCGAACCUGGAUCGUUCGAACGAACGAGGAAAGUUUAUAAAAAUCGUAUACUGCGAUGAGCUUAUCGAUGAAUCCUAAUGUCUUCGUUGGAUCUUCACGAUCAAUGAGAAUUAUAAAGAUAGAAUAAUUUUUUAUUAUUUUCAUCCAAAGUGACGAAAUUGUUUUUUUCUGUCUAUAUUUUUUAAACGUUUCAUAUGAAACAUUUCUUUUUAUAUUACAAUAGUUACUAAUUUACUUUGUAUGUAUAUCAAGUGAAAAAUUUGUAGGAUAAUUAAAAGUUGAACUUCGUUCGCGUAAACUUUAAUAGACGAUGGUAGCUCACGUUUUUAAUUAACUUUCAAUUACCAACGUCGCAAACUGCACGUCGCAAUUUCGUGUAGAUCGAAAGGAAUUUUAAUUUGUCGAGAAUCAUAUUUGGUCAGACCAAUUAGAAAAGCAAGAGAGGGAAAGAGAGAAAGAGAGAGAGGAAGAGAGAGAGAGAGAGAGAGAGAGAGAGAGAGAGAAAACUUCAACGAGAUAGGAAAACUCCAAGUAGAUAAUAUAAGAAAGUGGAAUUAUAUUGGACCAUUUUAAAGUGAAGUAGCUUAUAAUGUGGAAAUAAAAUGCUCCGGUUGGUCUAGGAUAGUAGAGAAUUGUCGAGAAUCAGCUGCUGUGUAGGUGUUGUAGUCAGUACAGAGAGAAGGAAGGGAGAGUGAUAUUCAAUGUGAAAGAUGUCUAACUGGAUAUGGAAAUCAUGAAUAUAUAAGGGGUGGCUUCAGUCGUACGCUAAUUCUAUUUGAAAAUAUUCGAUUCGGAUCCUUUCUCGACUGAUCUUUAUGCGUAGCAAAUAGUUACUACGACACGCACUCUAAUUUUCUAUUCCAUUAUACUAAUUUUCUUUAUUCUCUGACAUUCGAUUCCUUUUUUUUUUUUUACUUUUAAAUAGUAGUUUCAUCAUCAAUUAUUAUUUCGAGGAAAGCGACUAGUCAAGAUCGCUUUCAUUGUCACGCAAAAAGUUAAAAACACCCAGGAGCAAUGUUGCUGAGAAUCAGACAGGUAUCUGCCAUAUGUAUUUUUGAGGAGUGGUGCGUGACGAGAAACCCACGAGCACAAAUAUCCGUGUAUAUGCAUGCAGAAGCAUGAAUCUAAUUUACGAGAGAAGAGCACGUCCGCCUGUCGGACUGUCCGUUCCUAGGAAAGGGUUCUGCGAUCACACAGGAAUUUCUAAGUGCGUUCUCUUUACUUUAAAUUAUCAUUGUGUUCGUCGCAAUAGAGCUACUCUGUGUUGACGUUAAGUAUUAAUGGGAUAUCUUUCAUCACUUUACAAAAAUUAGUUAUUGUGAACGAUCAUGACUCAAAAUUACUUGUAUUAUGAAAAUAUCUUGAAGUAUUCUUCGUUCGAGAUAAGCUAUAAAAAAUAUUUUUUUUUUUUUCGAUUUUAGCUCCUUUAAAGUUGAUAAAAUCUCGAACGAAAAACGUUGGCUGUUCGAUAACGAAUGGAAAAAGGCGAAAAAUGUUUGAUAUUCGAGCUGUGAGAGUAAAUAUUGUAUAAAAAUAUCUUUUCGUUCGUUUUGAAAGUAAUGGAUAUUAAAAGUUUAUAAGUACGAAAGAAGCUGUGCAUUCCUAAAAGUAUUCUCACAUUGAGAUUCACACAUUCUUGACAUUGGAGUAUUCGUCGUCAUUCGUCGUUCUUUCUCGUCUUUUUUCUUUUUCGUUCAGAUUUUUAUAUUUUGAAUUUGUGAAAUUGAUGAAGAAUUUAUGUAUAGAAUACGAUCUUAUUAUUAUUAGUGCUUUUUUUUUU